This is a long non-coding RNA of Oncorhynchus tshawytscha (Chinook salmon), 2381 nucleotides long. Lineage: Eukaryota; Metazoa; Chordata; Actinopteri; Salmoniformes; Salmonidae. The record is from Ensembl.
UUGAAUUCGAAGUCCCCUGCCUUUGCCAGUAUGUCUUCCAGCUGUUUCUUUCCAUAAGAUGACGGUCGCUUGAUGGUUAACUCAUGCCCCAGACAUCGAAUUACGGUCCUCUCCUCAAAAGAGCAAUAAGGGAACCAACCUUUUUCACCACAUUCAUCUAACAGGGAAGACACAGAGAGCUUGGCGUGGAUAACAUACACUACAGUUCAAAAGUUUGGUGUCACUUAGAAAUGUCCUUGUUUUUGAAAAAAAUGCACAUUUUUUGUAGAUUAAAUGAAUAUCAAAUUGAUCAGAAAUACAUUGUUAAUGUUGUAAAUGACUAUUGUAGCUGGAAACAACAGAUUUUUAAUGGAGUAUCUACACACAGGCGUACAGAGGUCGAUUAUCAGAAACCAUCACUCCUGUGUUCCAAUGGCAUGUUGUGUUAGCAAAUGCAAGUUCAUCAUUUUAAAAGGAUAAUUGAUCAUUACAAAAUCCUUUUGCAAUUAUGUUAGCACAGCUGAAAACUGUUGUUCUGAUUAAAGAAGCAAUAAAACUGUCUUUCUUUAGACUAGUUGAGUAUCUGGAGCUUUUGUGGGUUCGAUUACAGGCUCAAAAUGGCCAAAAACAAAUAACUUUCUUCUGAAACUCGUCAGUCUAUUGUUGUUCUGAGAAAUUAAAGCUAUUCCAUGUGAGAAAUUGCCAAGAAACUGAAGACGCUGUGUACUACUCCCUUCACGGAACAGUGCAAACUGUCUCUAGCCAGAAUAGAAUGAGGAGUGGGAGGCCAUGGUGCACAACUGAGCAAGAGGACAAGUGCAUUAGAGCGUCUAGUUUGAGAAACAGACACUCCAAUGUACUUGUCCUCUUGCUCAGUUGUGCACCGUGGUCAUCAACUUUUCUUGCCGUAACGUCUUCAGUCAUCUGUCCUUUAUCCCUUGACUCCCUGAGCUCCUCAGCCAUCUUCUGGAAUUUCCUCCUCUCCAUCUCACCUAAACUCCCCCACCUGCCACUGAGGAUUGUAGGAUCACCUGAGAUGACAAUAUUGUCUACUGAUGUCAACUAUAACAGAGGAUAUUGUCAUGGUGAAAGUGUUGUGCGCUAUUGGCUUACUUGACCAAUACAGGAUCACCUUCAAACUUCUAAUGCUCACCUACAAAGCACCCGAUGGACUGGCGCCAUCAUACGUUACUGACCUUCUGCACCCCUACAUUCCGACCUGCACUCCUCUAACAAUGGCCUCCUCAUAAUUCCUUGCACCAGGCUCCGCACCAUAGGAGACGUUGCAUUUAGCAGUGUAGCCCCUCAAAAUAGCACACAAAAACGUACAAAAACUGUCACAAAUCUCUGGUUUAUUGUACCGAUGCGGUAGUACAAGACAAUGGGCGCUCUUGCUCGGGAUACAGUUCUACCGUGACAGAGCUAAGGCGAGCAUACCAUGUUCUUUCACUAUUUAAUCAGAUAUUCAACUGAUUAACAGGCCAGAUACAGUAGGUUAUAAACACACAAUAACACACGUGACCCAUGAUAUAUCAACAUUAUAAAGUUUUUAUAGUCCACACAUAAUAUUAUCUAAUAAUAUACGCCAUUAUUAAGCAGACACUUUUAAGCGACUUAGUAAUGCAACUUAGGCAUGUGUAGCUUAACCUCUUUCUAAAUAUGUUGAAAACAAAUUGCUUGAUGUAAUGAAGAGCACAAGUGUAAUAAAACAAUUCACUUUUAAAUUGUUCUCUAAUUAAACAUCACGGAAUACCCAAGUCGAAUGUUUGAUUGGUGUGACAUGCGUCACCUAAUUGUGAUUGUGCCUACAUGAGUCUCGUUAUUGGUGGGUGGGGUUCUCCCUAUACAUUUCCAGUGUUUCCCAGUGGCCAGAGGAUUCCCCUUAAAUUGUGAAGGUUGGAGUGCCUUCAGAGGACAAGAGAAGUGAAGGUGACUUAGACCAAAUUUCCAGUAAAGGCAGCCUGGUAGUUGAAUUGUAAGUACGGCAAAAGUAUGACCUCCAGCUAGGAUAAACUCUCCUUCACCCUGGGCAUGCCUCCCUAAACCUUUGUAUGUAUUGCUGUUUCUAAUUUAAAGUGAAAGCUAAUAAGUAUAUAUUGGUGAUAGGAUCAUUGUAAGAAGAUUGUGUGAUAUUAAUGCGGAGCGCUCCAAUGGUGAUUAUAGAGAUGUGACUCUCUAAUAUUGGUGCUGAAAGAUAUUGGUGCUUCAGAAAAUAAAUCUGCUGUUUAUUUGAAAUCUAUCUAAUUGCAUUCGGCUGUAUCAAGGGCUUUGUGAUUCGUUGGCCAGGCAAUUCAGGUGUGAGUGCCGGGCUGGAUAAAAAAGCUUUCUUACUGUUCACUUGGAAACUAAUUAAGAAACAUGGCAUCACUUUGUACUUACUGCUAUGUAACUGCUAUGUAAUU